UACGGAGGGAGCUAGCGUUGUUCGGAAUUACUGGGCGUAAAGCGCGCGUAGGCGGCUUUGUAAGUUAGAGGUGAAAGCCCGGGGCUCAACCCCGGAACUGCCUUUAAGACUGCAUCGCUUGAAUCCGGGAGAGGUGAGUGGAAUUCCGAGUGUAGAGGUGAAAUUCGUAGAUAUUCGGAAGAACACCAGUGGCGAAGGCGGCUCACUGGACCGGCAUUGACGCUGAGGUGCGGAAGCGUGGGGAGCAAACAGG
Molecule: ribosomal RNA, 253 nt
Filed under: uncultured bacterium
Lineage: Bacteria
Description: partial 16S ribosomal RNA
Rfam family: Bacterial small subunit ribosomal RNA
Source: RNAcentral